GCGAGAGUGGUGAAAUUGGUAUACGCACUGGAUUUAGGAUCCAGCGCCUUCGGGCUUGCGGGUUCAAAUCCCGCCUCUCGCACCA
This 85-nucleotide transfer RNA is filed under the name Desulfovibrio sp. RNAcentral describes it as "tRNA-Leu". It matches the Rfam family "tRNA". Rfam says of the family: Transfer RNA (tRNA) molecules are approximately 80 nucleotides in length. Their secondary structure includes four short double-helical elements and three loops (D, anti-codon, and T loops). Lineage: Bacteria; Pseudomonadati; Thermodesulfobacteriota; Desulfovibrionia; Desulfovibrionales; Desulfovibrionaceae. The record is from RNAcentral.